RNAcentral lists this ribosomal RNA (693 nucleotides) under uncultured bacterium. Its description in RNAcentral is "bacterial SSU rRNA". It matches the Rfam family "Bacterial small subunit ribosomal RNA", at positions 32 to 715 of the family's 1533-position model. The record is from RNAcentral.
AACGCUAGCUACAGGCUUAACACAUGCAAGUCGAGGGGCAGCAUGAUUGAAGCUUGCUUCAAUUGAUGGCGACCGGCGCACGGGUGAGUAACACGUAUCCAACCUGCCGAUGACUCGGGGAUAGCCUUUCGAAAGAAAGAUUAAUACCCGAUGGCAUAGUUCUUCCGCAUGGUGGAACUAUUAAAGAAUUUCGGUCAUCGAUGGGGAUGCGUUCCAUUAGGUUGUUGGCGGGGUAACGGCCCACCAAGCCUUCGAUGGAUAGGGGUUCUGAGGGGAAGGUCCCCCACAUUGGAACUGAGACACGGUCCAAACUCCUACGGGAGGCAGCAGUGAGGAAUAUUGGCCAAUGGACGAGAGUCUGAACCAGCCAAGUAGCGUGAAGGAUGACUGCCCUAUGGGUUGUAAACUUCUUUUAUACGGGAAUAAAGUGAGGCACGUGCGCCUUUUUGUAUGUACCGUAUGAAUAAGGAUCGGCUAACUCCGUGCCAGCAGCCGCGGUAAUACGGAGGAUCCGAGCGUUAUCCGGAUUUAUUGGGUUUAAAGGGAGCGUAGGCGGACGCUUAAGUCAGUUGUGAAAGUUUGCGGCUCAACCGUAAAAUUGCAGUUGACACUGGGUGUCUUGAGUACAGUAGAGGCAGGCGGAAUUCGUGGUGUAGCGGUGAAAUGCUUAGAUAUCACGAAGAACUCCGAUUG